Molecule: non-coding RNA, 24 nt
Filed under: Arabidopsis thaliana (thale cress)
Lineage: Eukaryota; Viridiplantae; Streptophyta; Magnoliopsida; Brassicales; Brassicaceae
Source: RNAcentral
AGCCAGAGUUGGAAUCCCCUAUCG